CCCCCCGCCUCGUUCUCGUCAAGCCAACUCGCAUAAUAUGAACAGUAUCAGAAGAAGCUCAAAGGUUCUCCUGAAAGAAGCCGCGGGAAAGUGAAUGUCGGGCAUCGAAGAGUGGACGAAGAACAAUAAUGGAUUUCGGAACGUUCCAUUCACAAGACAUGGAUGAUGAAUAUGAGAAACUUAUUAGAAGGAUGAAUCCACCCAGGUUUGCUAAAUUUUG
Tarenaya hassleriana is the source of this 220-nucleotide long non-coding RNA. RefSeq lists it as uncharacterized. The record is from RefSeq and is a predicted model, not a curated record. The transcript is spliced from 3 exons. NCBI's taxonomy places the organism in Eukaryota, Viridiplantae, Streptophyta, Magnoliopsida, Brassicales, Cleomaceae.